GAGUUUGAUCCUGGCUCAGGAUGAACGCUAGCGGCAGGCUUAAUACAUGCAAGUCGAGGGGGAUCAGUUGGGUAGCAAUACCUGGCUGUGAGACCGGCAAACGGGUGAGGAACACGUACGCAACUUUCCCAAAACUGGUGAAUAGCCCUCCGAAAGGAGGAUUAAUACACCGUAACAUAACGAAAUGGCAUCAUUUUGUUAUUAUAGCGGCAAUGCGGUUUUGGAUAGGCGUGCGCCUGAUUAGGUAGUUGGCGGGGUAACGGCCCACCAAGCCUACGAUCAGUAACUGGUGUGAGAGCACGACCAGUCACACGGGCACUGAGACACGGGCCCGACUCCUACGGGAGGCAGCAGUAAGGAAUAUUGGUCAAUGGACGAAAGUCUGAACCAGCCAUGCCGCGUGAAGGAUGAAGGUCCUCUGGAUUGUAAACUUCUUUUAUCUGGGACGAAAAAAGGGAAUUCUUUCUCACUUGACGGUACCAGAAGAAUAAGCACCGGCUAACUCCGUGCCAGCAGCCGCGGUAAUACGGAGGGUGCAAGCGUUAUCCGGAUUCACUGGGUUUAAAGGGUGCGUAGGUGGGCAGUUAAGUCAGUGGUGAAAUCUCCGGGCUUAACCCGGAAACUGCCAUUGAUACUAUCUGUCUUGAAUACUCUGGAGGUAAGCGGAAUAUGUCAUGUAGCGGUGAAAUGCUUAGAUAUGACAUAGAACACCGAUUGCGAAGGCAGCUUACUACGGAGUCAUUGACACUGAGGCACGAAAGCGUGGGGAUCAAACAGGAUUAGAUACCCUGGUAGUCCACG
Molecule: ribosomal RNA, 801 nt
Filed under: uncultured bacterium
Lineage: Bacteria
Description: bacterial SSU rRNA
Rfam family: Bacterial small subunit ribosomal RNA
Source: RNAcentral